This 293-nucleotide ribosomal RNA is filed under the name uncultured bacterium. RNAcentral describes it as "partial 16S ribosomal RNA". The record is from RNAcentral.
GGACUACCCGGGUUUCUAAUCCCGUUUGCUCCCCACGCUUUCGUGCCUGAGUGUCAGGAACGAGCUAGUAACCUGCUUACGCCAUCGGUGUUCCUCCUAAUAUCUACGGAUUUCACUCCUACACUAGGAAUUCCAGUUACCUCUCUCGUCCUCUAGCUGAGCAGUUCAAAACAUGUAUGUAUGGUUGAGCCACACGAUUUCAUGCCUUGCUUACUCUGCCACCUACGCAACUCUUUACGCCCAGUAAUUCCGGAUAACGCUUGGAUCCUCCGUAUUACCGCGGCUGCUGGCAC